Molecule: transfer RNA, 83 nt
Filed under: Marmota monax (woodchuck)
Lineage: Eukaryota; Metazoa; Chordata; Mammalia; Rodentia; Sciuridae
Description: tRNA.Ala
Source: RNAcentral
UGGAAUGUGGCUUAGGGGUAGAGUGCUUGCCUCGCAAGGCAAGGGUUUAAUUGAGGCCCUGGGUUUAAUCCCCAGCACCAUAA